AAGAAAAUGUUUUCCUUCAGACAAAAGAGAGUGGUGAUUCAGCCGUAGGCAAUACAGGGUAAUGUCAAGUUCUUCUCUCAGUCAGAUUCAUCUCUCUUCGAUUUGAGGUCCAGUGAAGGAGAUCCAUCAAAGAUCUUUUCAUGAACAAAAGACAGUAAGUGUUUCAGACUCACACAGACUCCUUGGGGACGCGGUGAGGAGCUAACCAAUUGCACAUGGGAAAUGAGGAUUUUCGUGGUUAGAAAAACUGCAGUGUUUGGUAAUUUUCCACAUGGAGUUGAAGUUAGUGAGUUGUCCGGGCUGCAGAGGAAACUGCUGUAUCGUUAAACCCAAGGCCGACGAUGAAAACAGCCGCCCUUCCAGCAAAAUAGAUACCCCUCCUCAUUUCAUAAAUCUUGUUUCCAACGAGACUAAAGCCAGGAACGGACUCUUGCUCACAGCAAUGGCCUGAAACGUCCUGUAUCAGGGUAGUCCGCUCAAAGGGACCCAGGGCACCCGGCAACAACCUCAGGGCCGGGGAGGUGAUGGUAACCGACAGCCAGGGUCUGGCCCGGCUGCUCUAAUUCCCAGCAAGACCUCCGCAUCACAGCAGAGAAUGGUAGACAAAUAAAAACCUACACCACCGGCCAUGAGCAAGAACCACAAACGCUGCUGUGACUGAUCAAGACUUCAGCUGUCAAGAGUUGGCCAACUUCUCCCUCAUCUUCUCCCCCUCGCCUGCCCACCCCCCUUCCCUCACAAAAAGCUUGUUAAUGGUGGAGGGCCCAACAGGAAAUGUUUUUACACCUAGCACCAAAUGCUAAUCCUUCACUGAAGCCUUCAGUAUAUUUAAAUGUUUAGGUUACCGAGGCAAAAGGGAUUCCAAUAGACAUUACUUAGGGAAUGUGGAGAUUUAACAAUUUGGCUAAGCGUGUAUACAUUUAUUGAAUGUCCUCUUUAAUUAAGGAUUACCUUAAAAAAGCACAUGACAAUUCAAAGAGAAAGGGAAUUUAAUUAUCAUUUAAGCCAUAACCAGCAUGAAACUUUGUGUUCCUUCAACAGAUGUUUGGGAUGAAGGAGAGGGGUGUAAAUAAAUUCUUAGUAGAUUAUAUAACAUUUCUUAACACAUCUAGAUUCACAUAUUUCUUCAUUUUCACAGAGUCCACAUUGUAUUGUCUUGAAAUACUUUUUUUGUAGAACUAGAUUUGACAUGCACUUGUGAUACAUCAACCACUACAGAUAUCAAGCCAUUCUAAUCCAAAUAUGGAUAAAAGAUUCUGGUGAAAAUUCUGCAUUGUCUUAUUUUGUAAAAAAUGGUUUGAAUUUUUAAGUACAUUAAUUGAAUUAAA
Molecule: long non-coding RNA, 1328 nt
Organism: Phacochoerus africanus (Common warthog)
Lineage: Eukaryota; Metazoa; Chordata; Mammalia; Artiodactyla; Suidae
Exons: 4
Source: RefSeq, a predicted model, not a curated record